CGGCUAUCACUCCUACGGGAGGCAGCAGUGGGGAAUAUUGCACAAUGGGGGAAACCUUGAUGCAGCCAUGCCGCGUGUGUGAAGAAGGCCUUCGGGUUGUAAAGCACUUUCAGUAGGGAGGAAGGUAGUGUAGUUAACACCUGCAUUAUUUGACGUUACCUACAGAAGAAGCACCGGCUAACUCCGUGCCAGCAGCCGCGGUAAUACGGAGGGUGCGAGCGUUAAUCGGAAUUACUGGGCGUAAAGCGCAUGCAGGCGGCCUGUUAAGUCAGAUGUGAAAGCCCGGGGCUUAACCUCGGAAUUGCAUUUGAAACUGGCAGGCUAGAGUCUUGUAGAGGGGGUAGAAUUUCAGGUGUAGCGGUGAAAUGCGUAGAGAUCUGAAGGAAUACCAGUGGCGAAGGCGGCCCCCUGGACAAAGACUGACGCUCAGAUGCGAAAGCGUGGGGAGCAAACAGGAUUAGAUACCCUGGUAG
This 473-nucleotide ribosomal RNA is filed under the name uncultured bacterium. RNAcentral's name for it is "bacterial SSU rRNA". It matches the Rfam family "Bacterial small subunit ribosomal RNA", at positions 327 to 793 of the family's 1533-position model. The record is from RNAcentral.